This 74-nucleotide transfer RNA is filed under the name Armillaria ostoyae. It matches the Rfam family "tRNA". Rfam says of the family: Transfer RNA (tRNA) molecules are approximately 80 nucleotides in length. Their secondary structure includes four short double-helical elements and three loops (D, anti-codon, and T loops). Lineage: Eukaryota; Fungi; Basidiomycota; Agaricomycetes; Agaricales; Physalacriaceae. The record is from RNAcentral.
GCCUCUUUGGCUCAGUCGGUUAGAGCGCAAGUCUCAUAAUCUUGAGGUCGAAAGUUCGAAUCUUUCAAGUGGCA